UAACGCGUGAGGAACCUGCCUUUCGGAGGGGGAACAACAGUUGGAAACGACUGCUAAUACCGCAUGAUACAUUUGGAUCGCAUGGUCUGAAUGUCAAAGAUUUAUCGCCGAAAGAUGGCCUCGCGUCUGAUUAGCUAGUUGGUGAGGUAAUGGCCCACCAAGGCGACGAUCAGUAGCCGGACUGAGAGGUUGGCCGGCCACAUUGGGACUGAGAUACGGCCCAGACUCCUACGGAAGGCAGCAG
Molecule: ribosomal RNA, 244 nt
Filed under: uncultured bacterium
Lineage: Bacteria
Description: partial 16S ribosomal RNA
Rfam family: Bacterial small subunit ribosomal RNA
Source: RNAcentral